Chlorocebus sabaeus (green monkey) is the source of this 108-nucleotide small nuclear RNA. Lineage: Eukaryota; Metazoa; Chordata; Mammalia; Primates; Cercopithecidae. The record is from RefSeq and is a predicted model, not a curated record.
GCGCUUACUUCAGCAGCACAUAUACUAAAAUUAGAAUGAUACAGAGAAGAUUGUAUAAUGCCCCUUGAGCAACGAUGAUACACAAAUUCCCAAACAUUCCAUAGUUUU